Molecule: transfer RNA, 66 nt
Filed under: Thalamita spinicarpa
Lineage: Eukaryota; Metazoa; Arthropoda; Malacostraca; Decapoda; Portunidae
Description: tRNA-Ser
Source: RNAcentral
GAUUGUUUAGUUUAUACAAAAUAGAUAUUUUGAAAGUAUCAGAAAAGAAAAAUUUCUUAAUAAUCU